This 234-nucleotide ribosomal RNA is filed under the name uncultured bacterium. Its description in RNAcentral is "partial 16S ribosomal RNA". It matches the Rfam family "Bacterial small subunit ribosomal RNA", at positions 57 to 305 of the family's 1533-position model. The record is from RNAcentral.
GCAAGUCGAGCGAGAAAGUUGAUGCUUGCAUUAACCGGAAAGCGGCGAACGGGUGAGUAACACGUUGGUAUCUGCCCCCAAGUCAGGGAUAGCCAUUGGAAACGAUGAUUAAUACCGGAUAGUCUCUACGGAGUAAAAAUUUAUUGCUUGGGGAGGAACCUGCGGUCUAUCAGCUAGUUGGUGUGGUAAAAGCACACCAAGGCUAUGACGGAUAUCUGGUCUGAGAGGAUGACC